This is a non-coding RNA of Melozone crissalis (California towhee), 447 nucleotides long. The record is from the annotation of a RefSeq genome assembly. Lineage: Eukaryota; Metazoa; Chordata; Aves; Passeriformes; Passerellidae.
AUGCACUGGAUCCACCAGAGACCCGGGCAGACGCUGGAAUACAUCGCCAGCAUCAACAGCAAUGGUUCCAGCAGCGGCUACGCACCAUCGGUCAAGGGCCGGGAGUGCGGGGGGGACCUCCAGACACCCGGGGGGUCCCUGCGCCUCCUCUACCGAGGGUCAGGGUUCGAUUUCGGGAGUUUCUCCAUGUACUGGAUCCGCCAGAGACCCAGGCAGGCUUUGGAAUACUUCGCAAGCAUCUACUACAGUGGUGCCAACACCUACUACGCGCCAUCGGUCAAGGGCCGGGUCACGAUUUCCAGGGACAACGGGCAGAGCUCUGUGACGCUGACCAUGAACAACCUCAAGGACGAGGAUUCCGCCGUUUAUUUCUGCGCCCAACCCUUCUCCUCCUCGCCCUUGGAGAGUUUGCCCAGAACCAUGCCCCAGUCCAACAACAAGCACUGA